RNAcentral lists this long non-coding RNA (2710 nucleotides) under Nicotiana benthamiana. RNAcentral describes it as "long non-coding RNA (NBEN_LNC013739)". The record is from RNAcentral. Lineage: Eukaryota; Viridiplantae; Streptophyta; Magnoliopsida; Solanales; Solanaceae.
UGUACACUCUGAGCCCAAGACCUUGGUCUGCCAAUGACUAAUCGUUGUUCAGACCAUAGUCUGACCUUCAAUAGGUUUGUACUCUUAUUUGUGUGGAUGGACAGGUUUCGGUCAGGGGUGUGCCAGCCUACUUUAUGGCUGGGCAAGACCACCAAUUUGUUAUGGCAUUCCCCAUCCCCUUUUUGCACUUACCCUCAUUCUUAGAACAUUAAGUUUUGCCCCUCUCUUGGGAGCCAUGCUUUGGGACCCAUGAGCUCCUUCUGAACUUGGACACCUAAGAGCUGGCUCUUCUACACUACACUACAACUCAUUCUAAUUGGGAUCUUGGGUGUAAGCAAUGCCUGGAAUUCCUGAAAUUCCUUGGAACUUUGAAACACCCAGGAUAAAGAGAAUGCUUUGGAAUCUGGAUCUCGAAAGCAUCUCUAUGUCAUAUUGUUAGAUACUAAGUUUGCAUUAGGUGCUCUGAUGUAGCUAUAAAUUCUGAUGUAUUUUAAUUUCUACCUUAUUUUUACGGGUCUGUAAUAAUUUAUAUAAACUCGGGGAAUCUAGUAAAAAGAGAGGUAUUUACUUUCAUGCACAAAUAGGGUAGAAACCAUGCCUAUAGGACUUUUACUAUUAAUAUAUGCAUUUCACAAGUAGAAACCAUGCCUAUAGGAUCUAACUUUUAUUUUGUAAUUAUGCAUAUAGAUACCAUUCCUAUAGGGAUUUGCGUUUCUGCAUUUAUAAUUACAUUAAGCAAACCAUUAGGUUUAAUGUUGAAUCAACGGAUAGAAUAUCGUGUUAAUAAGGCUGUUAAAUGGUAUUAAUUUGAGCAACUCGUAGAGAUCAUGCCCAUAGGAACUUCAAAUAAGAGCUGACUCACUCGUGUCAAACAGUACCACUUUUCUUUACCAAAACAAACAAUAUUGCACGCUUUCUGAACUCUAUAAACUUCCUCAUAGUUAAUUCGGUGCAUAUUUUCUGAAAACUCAUUGUUUUUGAGAUAACUUGACAAGCAUAUUCAAAUCAAUCUGAUUUCAGCUUUUAUAAACCCUUUCUUUCUUGAAUCAGUCUGCAAUUCAGUCCUUUGAUUAAAACUCGGCAACUCUUUUCUUAAAUAGCAUGUUUUCCAAAACUCGUUAAGAACCAUUUUCUUGUGUUAAGUCUGUGAUCUUUUUAUCAACAUAUUUAACUCUGCAUGUUUUUCCAUCCCCUGCUAUUUAUAUAGUGAAGUGCAGAAUCAUGUUCCUUUCUAGAUUGAUAUUGUUUCCCUUGAUCUUCUGACUGAUUGCAAAAGGCUUUUCUUUAACGAGCCCCAAUUUCACUCAGCUGUUUAAAAUUAAUUGAUUCUUUUCCCUUUACUGUGAUGUUUUACCUUGAUAAAUCCAUACCCAAAAUAAGCCUAUUUCGUACUUGGACUUGAUUGUUUGCUUCAUGCCCUUACUACCCCUUUUAUGGCAAUAAUCAAUCUGCCCCCUCCCCAAAAUGAUUUUCUUUCCUUAAUUAAACCUGCAGCUACCCAUUAAAUAGUGUUUCCUUAAUUAAAGGGGAAUCACUUGGGUUAAUUGAUUCUAACUUGUGAUUGUUUCCAUGUUUGUGUUUAAAUUUUACUUAUUACCUUACUCUCUACACGUUUUCAAAGCUAUAAAUGCCUACACUCUUCUCUUUCAAAUAGACAAGUUCUAAUGAACACACACAUAUACUCACAAUUUCUUCUCUCAAACACUCUUAAGUUCUCUCAAAAAGCAUUCGAGGUUUCCCUAAAAUUACAAGUUAGCUUUCUUUGUAUUGUGGCUGCAAGUGUUCUGCUUCUCUUCCUUUUUAUUUUUGCAACUGGAAUGCCUCUUUUAGUUUAAUACUACCUCUCUCCUAUGCGUUUAUGAUUCAGUUCUCUUCGUGUUUGCUUCUACUACUUUCUGCAAUUUGUUAUUCCUGCUCUUAUAUGAACUCCCCAUACCUAAUCUCCUUUGUAUGUUGAGUUAUGGUUCAGAAAGAAUGACAACAUUUAACAUUAUUGUUCACGUACAUGGAAUGGAUUAUGUGAAUCCUGAUCUCUGUCAAUUCCCAUUCCUUUUACUGAUAUGUGCACCCUGAGCCCAAGACCUUGGUCUGGUAAUGUCCUAAUCAUUGUCCAGACCAUAGUCUGACCUUCAAUAGGGUUGUGCUCUUAUUUAUGUCGCUGGACAGGUUUUGGUCAGGGGUGUGCCAGCCUACUUUGUGGCUGGGCAUGACCACCAACUUGUUAUGGCAUUCCCCAAACCUUGUUUUGCACUUACACUCAUUCUUAGAAUAUCAAGUUCUGCCCCUCUCUUGUAAGCCAUGCUUUGGUACCCAUGAGCUCUUUAUUAACUUAGACACUUGAGAGAUGGCUCUUCCACAGUGCACUACAACUCAUUUUGAUUGCUAUCUAGGGUGUAAGCAAUGCCUGCAAUUCCUGAAUUUCCUUGGAACUUUGAAACACCUUGGAUAAAGAGAAGGCUUUGGAAAUCUGGAUCUUAGAAGUGGUUCAUUCUCAUAUUUUUAGAUACUAAGUUUCCAUUAGGCUGCUCCCAUGUAGCUGUAACUUCUGAUGUAUUUUAAUUUUUCCUUAUUUUUACUGGUCUAUAAUAAUUUGUAUAAACUCGGAGAAUCUAGUAAAAAGGAGGGAUUUACUUUCAUGCACAAAAAGGAUAAAAACCAUGCCUAUAGGACUUUUACUGUUAAUUUAUGCAUUUCAUAAAUAGAAACCACG